CAUCACUGUGAGAGAGGAAAUGAAACCAGGCAGAAUCAUGUGCAAAAUACAAACACCCUCUGUGUUACCGUCUUUCUCACACACGAAGCGAAUGUUUAGAGUCAUACAAAUGAUGUAAUUUGGGAACAUUAAAAUGGCCCCAUUGAGAUACAACGUGUUGAAGACUGCAUACGGGGAAUAAAGAGACGGCCUUUAAAGUGAAACCAGACAAAUUCAAAUGCCGGGUAUCAAAUCCAGGCCCACUGCUGUUAAAUAUAUGAAAGAAAGGUCUUUCAUAUAUUUUCAAAUUUUGGCAGAUUUCUGCAAGAAGCUUAACACUAAGCAAUUCUGUUUGGGGAAACUUGAAAUAUUAAAUACAUCACAUUUGUGAUCGCGUUGAGAUGGAGGUUUCAAGCGUAAAUAACCAAGAUUCAAAAGGACCUUUAUUUUCUAAUUAUCCACAAGAACUCGGCCAAAUAUUUCAGGAAUUCAAUGAAUAUAUUUGAAUAAUGAACAGCGUACAAUGACUUGUUAUAGUGCUUUUCAAUUUAUCAGGCGCAUUGCUCACUUGUACGUGAAGAAAACAGGCUUCUGACAUUAUUCAAUUAACAAAAACCACAGAAAUAAUACAAGUAUUUUAACGCGCCUCAUUCAUUAAAAAUUACCUCGCCAUUAACCUGUCAGGAUCACAUGAUUAACAACGCCAAUUCAGCGGCCGCACAAGAGAUGAAAAAGCCGAGUCGAUUGCCUGGGUCUCAUGGCAUUUAAAAAAAAAAAAAAAAGCUUGAUUGCAUAGAUGCAAUCUUGACUCUGAACCCCCCUCAGAGGCUCCGUGGCGAUAACCACGGCGAGCAGUAGCUGUCACGGCCGGGCAGUAUGACUCACGCCAGGCGCGAGAAUGAUGUCCCGGGUGAGUCUCCUUUCGCCCCACUGGGAGUGCGCACUGUCCUGCUCCUCUGGUGUCUUAGAGUGUCUCGGGCCCAGAGGUCAGCGUCUCAUUUUACACGGACAAAAAAUCUAUUACAAAAAAAAAAACCUCUCUCUCUCUCUCUCUCUCUCUCUCUCUCGCUCGCUCGCAAUAAACCCGCCGGGGGAAACGAGGCUUUCCUCUAAUUGUUUUUCCUUGGCUGCGAAGCCGGCCUGGUUCUGAGUGAACGCGGUGCACGGCGUGCCUGUGAUUGGUGCGCAGCUCAUUCAGACCCAUCACUCACACACCGCUGUGUGUAGUGCGGCAUUAUUCAUUCCGGGAAGGAGUGUGUGACUUUGCAUCUACAUUGGACUCAAAGUGAACUGUGUAUUAAAUAAACCACUCCUAUGUUAUGGACGCAUUAAUCAGGUGAAGAUCCAUGGGUGACCUGCUGUGGAACGCCUGGGUGUUGCGGCGAAAGCGAUGCAUCCUGGGAGUCCUUGAACUGGCUCCUCUUACUCAGUUUCCUUUCACAGUAAUUUACUUUUCAUUGACGACAUAUUACGGAAAGAUACUGUUAUCCUGCUGCCAGUAAUCAACCCUAAUAUUACGGUAUUUGUGCGGACCACCUGUAUGUACACACACACACAUGAACCGUGUGGGAAGAAGAGGAGGAUGGCAUCUAAUUAAAAAGAGUUAACGACAGAAGUGUUAAUGCAGAGUUUUUAGGGCAUUCAGUAUUCAUCCUCUUACUCUUUUUGUCUGUUUUUCUUCACAGAACACAGGAGCAUGGACCGGGCCGCGUCGAAGCUCCUUUGAAAUUGACAGAAGGCUCAAGUAGCUCUCUCGGCUUUUAACUUGGAGCUCUGAAACAGCAGGGCGCCUAAUCUGAAAAGGCCUUUUCAUUUGUUGCGGCAGUGGAAUCCUUUAAUGGCAUCUCUGCACCUGCCGAGUCCCCGGAACACAAAACGUGCUGAGUGACGUCUGCUGCGAUCGCGGCCGCAGUGCCGCAUCUUUUGGGGUGAAGAUGACUCGGUAAACGGAGUAAGAAGCUGGACCAAAAUGAUGAGGAGUGGACGAGUGAAUAGAAGCCCUGACAAAGCCUUCGAGGAAAGGUCACGUCUCAAGGGAAGGAAUCUUGGCGGCGUUUAACUCGGCGUAUAGAGGAAAUUCAAGGACCGCCACUUGAAACGGUGCGAUGAGGACAGCCGAGAAGACGCCGCAGGUUUUCUUCUUCAGCAGUGAACUGACAUGGAUCCAACCGAUAAUCAGCGUCAUCAGUUUGACCCCACAAACAGUUUCGAAGAGCUCAUUUGAAUUUCUACACGUUCUUUCUCCUUCUUUUACUGUACAGAAAUCCCUGAUUGUCAUUAGUAAAUAUGUUUUAAGCUCAUUUCUUCAAAGGAUUUGAUCUUGCGGCUCAAUAUCAGAUUGUGGCAACUAAAGCACAAUGAGAUGUUCUCAUUGUGUCUUUGCAGCAGUUAGUCGAGGUCAGUGAAAGAUCGGCACGCGACGUACAGGACAACAACCUCUGGCAUAUAGUAGAUAAUAGAACUUAUUAGCUCCUCGACUUGAAGUGCCCACAGUGUUUUAAGGCCGUCCACUUACUGGGCCCAUAAUGACCGGGAAUAGAAGCAAAGGACGAUGCAGAAAGGCAGCAAAAGACAAAUGAGAGAAGUGUCUGAACUCGUAGUUGUUAUCUAACAACUUCCCCCUGCUGAUCACUUCAGUGAUUUUUUUUAAUUUAGAUAGCGUCAAUCAGAAAAUCACUCGUUGUCAUUUAGGUCUGACUUUAUUUAUGUGCUUUUCAUAAUUUGAUGUCAAGUUACUGUGAAGCUUGCACAGAUAAGAAACACAUCACGUGAACAAAUGCUGCUGUAUGACUAUCAGAUAUUCAACGGCUUCUGCGCACACACUGAUGUUGCAUAUUAUAUACGUCCCGUUGAACAAAUGUGUAGCGCUUGUCAAAUUUCAUUAUGUUGUUUUCACAAAGGCACAGGAUGUGUCGCUAAAGCCACACACAAACCUGUAUGAAUAGGCUAACAUAUAGCAUAUACAUGUUACCAAUAGCAUUAUUGUUCUUUAGCAGCAGGUACUGUCUUCAGCAGGUGUUUCCAGGUGUGGAUUAAUCCACAUUUGGUGCUCUGGUGAGUACUUACAGGAGCAGAACGGUGUAUAUGGGGUCACAUCAGAAUACACCCAAGUGCCUGCGUUGGUGGUAAUGAGGGACAUUGUCACCCAGUGUACUGACAGAUGGGCUUUAACAUCUGUCGGACAAGAAUGCAGCGCUAAGACGGCCAACAGUCUCCCAUGUUAGGCCUCGGCUAGUUCACAAUCAAUCCUUUAUUUGGUCUAUUAAAGGAGACGUGUUGGUUGUAAUAGAAAUGAAACAUGUAAUAAUGAUCUAAUUAUCUGACUUUGAAGGGGGCACUAUAGAAAAUCAAUGAAUUUACUUAUUGCAGAUGUCAUUUGCUUGUUUGCCUCCCUUUGGGACUACGCCUCGUCACAGAGACAAGCUAAUAAAUAAAGAGCUGAAUGAGGGUCUGGUUGUUUGCGGACCUCCUGAGGCACAACGUGUUGGGUUUAGGGGGAGCAGGGGUCACUGCUGAUACUCGACUGGCAUGGAAAUGACUUCCUCCUCUCAUGCAAACGUCACAAAGAGGCUCUGAUCCUAAUCGCUAAGCAAUCGCUGUCUUGUUUAAUCCUGCAGUGACGGCAAGAAUGGAUUUCAAAAAUCUGGUGGUGAGGAAUUAGGAAUUUCCAAGACGAUGUUGAAGACCGGACGAGCUACAGUAAGGCUCAAAAACAAUAACUUCAAAACGGAAAUCUUCUCCCAGAUGGCCGUUGUAAAUGAAAUAUAAUUUAGCAAGCAUUUUUAGAUCCAUAUAAUAAACUGUCAUCUUCCCUCUGCAAAACAACGUUUAAUGGUUUUACGGUAUCCAAACACUGAUUACAUUUAAUACUGUUAUGUAACCGACGUCUCUGUAAGAGACUGAGAAAUAAAUGUGCCGUGCAUGAAGCGUGGGUGAUUAACUAAAGAACCAUGCCCGUGUGUUUCCCGUAAAGAUUUUUAAAAUUUGAAUUUUUAAGGAAGCAACUAUUCUAUUCUUUUGUUCAUUUCGGGGGGGAAAAAAACAGUGGAAGAUUAUACAUUUUCAUUUCAUUUAAUCGUCUCUGAAUCAGCAAAUGAAUGAAAUGCACAGUGUGCUUUGGGUAGAAACCUGCGGCUCUCCGGGGGAUCGAUUGUGUGAAGAGAAAUUGUCCGCCAUCGGCUGCAUGGGGCCCGAAAUAUUCCGUUGGCGGUCACGUUCUCUGCCAUUAGCGGGGCGAGCUCUCGGCAACGAUCGGUCCCUUUGUUGCCAUUAAAAUGUGUGAAUAAAAAAAAGUAGGACUCAAACUGUAGUUUGCUGACACAAAGUGUGUAAUUAUCAUUCGACGUAUAACUGCCCCUGCGGCGUUCUCAAAGGGGAGUGAAUGUCGCCGCGUGCAGUGAUCCAUAUCACCUUAUCUCCAGUUCCCCUCGGGGCCCUGCAUUCGGCGCGGAGCAGCAGGCUAAUAAAGAUGACAGAGGUUUGUGCCACUGUUUAAAGAGCCAUGACACAUUUCCUUUUUUCACUGCCCCCCC
Long non-coding RNA from Gasterosteus aculeatus aculeatus (three-spined stickleback), 4511 nucleotides. RefSeq lists it as uncharacterized. The record is from RefSeq and is a predicted model, not a curated record. NCBI's taxonomy places the organism in Eukaryota, Metazoa, Chordata, Actinopteri, Perciformes, Gasterosteidae.